Long non-coding RNA from Haliotis rufescens (red abalone), 5590 nucleotides. RefSeq lists it as uncharacterized. The transcript has 2 exons. The record is from RefSeq and is a predicted model, not a curated record. NCBI's taxonomy places the organism in Eukaryota, Metazoa, Mollusca, Gastropoda, Lepetellida, Haliotidae.
AGUCGUAUUAAUUUGGAGACACAUUAAUUUCCAGAUUUACAGUAUAUUGUUUGUGGUGUUCAUCACUGAAAAUGAAAUUCGGCAUUGAUUCUGGGUGGGUGUGUCUUUAUUCUUCCAAAUACCUGCAAAUAGUGCGUGAAUUUGUAUGCAUAUUUAUGACAUGUUUAUUAUUGGUUUUUUUUGUAAAAUUUCUCUUACGACUACCCUCCUGAUUUCUGAUUUCUGUAAAUCUCUGUGAGACCAUUUGAUCUAGUACAUACCUUCUGAUAGAAUAGACAAGAUGGGUGAUCAGUUGACAAACGCUGAUAGGGGCACCUUGACCGUACAUCCCCACUGCGUCUAUGCUAUGCUAGAAUAUACAGAUUCCUGCAGGAUAUGAGUAUCAAUUGAGAUAACGCUGAUAGGGGCACCUUGACCGUACAUCCCCACAGCGUCUAUGCUCAUUGCUGUGCUAGAAUAUACAGAUUCCUACAAGAUGGGUGUAUCAAUUGAGAUAAAGCUGAUAGGGGCACCUUGACCGUACAUCCCCACAGCGUCUAUGCUAUGCUGGAAUGUACAGAUUCCUGCAGGAUAUGAGUAUCAAUUGAGAUAACGCUGAUAGGGGCACCUUGACGGUACAUCCCCACCGCGUCUAUGCUGUGCUGGAAUAUACAGAUUCCUGCAGGAUAUGAGUAUCAAUUGAGAUAACGCUGAUAGGGGCACCUUGACCGUACAUCCCCACAGCGUCUAUGCUGUGCUAGAAUAUACAGAUUCCUGCAGGAUGGGUGUACCAAUUGAGUAAUGCUGCUCAACAUUUGCUAAGGACCACACCAUUGACUGAAGAUGAAUGUUGUUCAAAUGUUGAGUCGUAUAUUAUUGCAUUCAAAAUAGGAGCAUCUUUAACUUGAUAAGUCUCCUGUAAGAGUCGGGGGCACAGAUGGCCCAGUUGUCUUAGGUGCCGCGAUUUGCUGUGCAGUGUAUGAUUGUGGGUUCGAAUCCCGGUUCACCCUGAUUAUGUUUCUAGGUUUAGUGAGCACCAUACCCGGGCUGGUGGGUUUCACCAAAGUGGUAAACAUCUGAGACCUGCAUCACUUCGGGCUUUCCUCCCACUUUAAGCUGACAAGAAGUAAUAUAAUUGGAAUACUGUUAAAAGCUGAGUUAUGCCAUACUCACUCACUCACUCACACAGCCUAGGCACUAGAAGGUUGCAAACACGGUUUGUCUCAACUUGGACUGGCUGUUCUGUUGAAAAAAACAUGCAAACGGCGUAGUCCUGUUGUGGCUGAGUUCUUUUGGAAUGUCAGAGUUCUUCUGUCGUGAUUAAUAAGGUGUGUUGACCAGAAUAGGUAGGAUAAUGUACACAGCUGUCUAGAACUGCAAUUUCACACAGGAAUUAUUUGUAUUUUGCAUUUGUUAAUUGACACUUAUUAACUACUGGGUCAUGCGCUAUAAGAUGAUACGAGUGCUGCGACUAUCGUAAGUCGACGAUAGAAUUUCAACAGUGGAAGGAGGCCCUGAAUUCUGUGUUGCGGAAGGAAACUAGCUUUGGGAUCAAGACUGACGUUCCAGAUGACAUAAAUAUUGUCAGAUAAGGUUUUUAUUUGCUGUUGUUCACCUUUGAAAAAUGACAAAUUCCUACCAUUCGACUGGACAUUUUGUUCUUAAACUGAACUAUGAGAUGUCCUCAGUCUCUGUUACAAGCAGCAACACAGGUUCAAGGUUAUCUUAACGAGGUAGGUAAUCAGUACAAGGCCCUCAUUUGCAAACUUAAAAACUUUGCAUGAAACUAUAUUUUCCUUGGAAUAUACUAUAUAUUACAUGUGUAUAUUAAUGGGAAAUACUAAACAUCUAAGUGUGAAAUAAGUAGUUGAGUCUAUCAUUAUAGGCCAAUGCGAUAUCUUCUUCCUUGUACAUGUUAACCAAAGUAUUAUUUGCACUCACAUCGGCAGUGUCCUCCACACUCUACAGGCCCUGGUUUAAGGGCCAGGGGUGGCCCUGGUUUGAGGGCAAGGGGUGGCCCUGGUUUGAGGGCCAAGGGUAGCCCAGUCACCUAAGGUGCUGCAGUGUGCUGCAAUUCCUCCCUCAGGCAUGCCGUGAACCUGUGAUCAUGGGUUCGAAUCCUAGAUCCACCUUGAUUGUCACGGUGUUUUCUGUACCAUACCCGUGUUGUGGGUUUCACCAGAGUGGUAAACGUCGAAGAACUGCAUCACUCUGUCUUUCCUCCUAACACAAACUGAAACACCAUGUAUAUUACUCAAAAAGAAGUUAAAGACAGCCCAAUGUUUUCUUAUGACUAUAGUUAGUCUGUCAUGGCUGGUGGGUGCACACAACCUUCCAUUUGUGGGUGUUCUUUGACUUGUUUUGAGUAGUAUAUGUGAAAUACUGUUCACAGUUGUGUGAAGCACAACCGAUUUACUAGCACCUUGCAUCUGUACUGGCAGUGGGCUAGUGUUAAUUGCCAUAUUAAACUGUAUAUUCAUGUCUUGGACCCUGAACUUUGUCGGAUCUGGUGCUGAAGGCUGCUGUCAGGCCCAAACUUAAAACUCUAUGGUUAUAACUGUCAUACAAAGUUACAAUCUUUUUCCUAUUGUUUUGCUAUUGUGCAGUGUUUUUCCCAUUGCUGAUACCAUGGAUACUCUGAUUUCUGUCAUGACUUCAUGGAGGCAGUACAUGCUCCUUUUUAUGCUCCAUUCGUCAAAGCUUUGGAAAAUUUGGCUUUGACAUUGCAUGGAAACCAUGACCUAGUGCUUAUGACCUUAACCUUGUGCUUAUGACACUGGACUUUGUGCUGAUGACCUUGAUCGAGUGUUUACGACCUUGACCUUUUUCGCUGCCCCAGCAAUUACUGAAUAAGGUGGAAUCUGGCUGAAUCAAUUCAGGUUUGAGCCUGGGACCAUUGAAACCAGUAAGUUAGUCAGGACAAUUGGGAGUGUGUAUGUUUUAUACGGUUGACUUAGAACAUAUGUUACACACAAGGCAUGCCCUCUUAGCUAAAGUAUAUUUUGUAAUUUUUUUAUCGCAACUUUAACUUUUAUUGUGACGGCUUGAUGUUUGUAUCCCCCUGCCAUACCUAAUGUAUGGUGAUCUGUUAAGGUCAUAUUUUCAUAGGAUUUGUUUUUUUUCCAUUGGUAUUCAUGACCAUUGAGUCUGUUAUUGUUGUUUAUAUGCUGGCUCACAAGCUGAUCCAAUUCUUAUUGUAUGACUGUUUUGACAGUGCUAUGUAUAUUGUUGUUUUUUUCUAAGAUAUGUCCACUGUUAUAUAUACAUACUUUCUACCGGGCGGUAUGGCUCAUAUCCCCCUCCAUGCAGUACCCUCUCCUGUACAUAUACAACUGUUUAUACCCUGUGUACAAUGUUUGUUACUUGCUGUCCUCACUUCCCUGUACAUAAGCUAUCAUCAUUCAUGGAGGCUGCUGACUCCUUGUCAUUGUCUUGGAUACAUUUCAAAUUGUUCAUGUAUGUCAAAAAUAGUUUGGCUGGAAGAUGAAUGUCCCAAGAUUGAGUUAUUUUUUAACAGGGCCUCGAUUUCAUAAUCAACUCACACCAAUUUGUAAAAUAUUGCAUUACUACAUUUGAAGGGCACUUGGCCUUGGUUUGGCUGGCAGUUCCAGGAACACUGUCCCUCCUGAACUAUAAGGGUAAAUGUAAAGUGGCUUGGUAAAGUCACAGUGACGGUGUAGGACAGGCUGAGUGAGGGGUGGGGAAUGUAUUUCCAGCCAAACUAUAUUUUUCACCAACACUAAUCUCUGGCCACAAGAAAUUAAUUAUUACAUUAUGAUCCAAAUUUAUCAAUGUAGUGAAGGAGGAGGGGGUUUUAUUUUUAAAAACAUCAUCUUUCAAGGUCACGAUUGAAAGUGAGCGUAUGUCGUUGUCUGCUGGUCUGCUUGUCUUCUGUAAAAUUCUCCUCCUCAGAAUCCACAAGACCAAUGAAGCUGACACUUCACAUGUUUAUUCCCAACAAUGAUGGCACUGAAUCUGUUGAAGAGGUUGGAAUCAGUUUUUCAAUAUGGCCACCAUGGCAGCCAUUUUGAAAAAGAUAUUUAUGACCAUUACUCAGUCAUUGUUCAAUAUGUGAUUAAAGUUAUUAUCUAGUUAGCUAUCUGUGAGUCAUGCUGUUAAAUCUCUCCAUGUGCUGUAAAACUUCUAUGAAAGGGGCGGUCGGGUAGCCUACUGUAAUGCCGAAGACCCGGGUUCGAUUCCCGACAUGGGUACAAUGUGUGAAGCCCAUUUCUGGUGUCCCCCGCCGUGAUAUUGCUGGAAUAUUGCUUAAAGCGGCGUAAAACCUCACUCACUCACUCACUCCUAUGAAAUUGUAAGACUUUGUCAUGUAUGUUUCCCCUUUAGAUGACAUUUUGGUCAAUUCAUUAGACUUUAGUUCUAGUGUUUAGUAUUUAUACAGAGAAUAGAUGAAAAUCAAUGCAGACAGCAGAAUUAGGUUCAGACUGCCUUUGUUUUUUAAAACUGUUGCGUACAUAUCCAGGUGAGCUACAGUUCCCUGACACUAUUGUUUUUGUAACAGUUCUGUUAUAAUGAAAUAUGAAGGUGAGAGGACAGGGUGAUAAUGUAGCAAUCAAUUUUUGUUGGCCUUUGGUGUUUAUAUGAGUUCUUGAAGCUGUACUUAAUACAAUGCCGCUUGGUUGCCCUGCUUGCAGUGUUCUCAUGACCUGUCUCAUGCCCUGUACAUCCAGCAUCACCCACCCCCUCCAAUCACAGGACCUGAUUCUUCAAGCUCCCUCCCAGCGCUUGACACCUUCGUUACGCUCUCGGUAACAUCGCUGUCACCAGUAGGGGCACGCCCAUUACAAGAAUCUUGAAAUUUGCCCUCUAAUCCCAUAUCAUAGUGAAUUUUGAAAAGGUUUAUGACUGACCAUAAUUUGCAGAUGAAUUUACCAUUUUGUUUGUUUGAUCAGAUUGGUUCACAAUUGCAGACAAAUGGAAAAUCAACCAACUUCCCCCUUACAGUCUAACAAUAUCAAUUACAUGAUAGUUGUCAUGAAACGCAAAUUCAGAUUGAUAAACAAAGAAAAUAAUAUAGCAAGCGUAAGAGUAUCCACGUCACGGCAUUAUCACUUGGUUGUAAACAUAACGGUCAUUCGGCUGUGAAUUCAACUCCAUGCAUGGUUGUGGCCACGCAUCACAGUGGGGAGGUUUGACUGGUGGCAGUGAUAGUAUAGAGAGCUCCGGGGUAUCACUGUGAGGAGCUUGCGGAUUCUGGUCAUAUUCCACAUCCUGUCACCAUGGAUACUACAAUCAAAUAUUGUCACAAUAUGUGAAAUGGCCUUCAGGUAUUCCAAAGAAAUGAAAUUGGGCACCAAGUGCUAAAUAUGUUCCGUUUUAGGUCCAUAUGUGGCAGUUUGUGGAAUUGGUUUUUCAUAUUCACUAACCACUGUUAUGCAAACCUUUGCCACUAUAAGUGGUGUAUAAAUGUGUAUAUUGCCAGUGUGGUGUAUGUCUAGUUAUCUCCAGUGUUCACUGAGGGUACUGUGUGAAGGGCUGAUGUCCCUGCCACCUAUCCUGCUUGACUGCUGUAUAUGAAGUUGUGGGUGGCCUCUCGACGCUCACGGCUCCCAUGCAUGUAUAAAGAAAAUGCAUAAAUGUUUCAAACCAUCAA